This 1097-nucleotide long non-coding RNA is filed under the name Olea europaea subsp. europaea. Lineage: Eukaryota; Viridiplantae; Streptophyta; Magnoliopsida; Lamiales; Oleaceae. The record is from RNAcentral.
CUCCCCCACUUCAAACUAAAUGGAUUUUGGAGAGCAAAGACCACCAUUUCCACUUAGUUGCUGGUAACCAAAUAAACAGGGGGAGAGAAAACAUUUGUGUAGUUCAAUUUGAAUGAGAAAAAUCUACUCCCAUGGCCGUCUUUAUCAUGUUUUUCGGCUAAUUACAGUAAAAAAGAAGCAGACCAGCUCUGGCGAACGUUGAGUCAUCUCGAGAAAAGCUACAGUGAUCGGCGAUGCAUGGGUCUCGAUAUUAGCAACCGGAUUUUAGCAUUAAAUGCUGAUGGAAAUAUGAAUUUGAUGGUGGCGUGGAAACCCAUUUUCAACUUUUUUCAGGUGGACUAGCUUGCCUAGGUAAUAAAUUAUCUUUUUGUUAGUUUCUUUUUUUCUUCUUUUUUUUUUUUUUUUGGUUUUCAUACUUUGAUUCACUGCCAGAAUAUAUAUCUACUCAUAUGUUAAAACGGGUCAACCCAUUAGUGGCCCAAACCUUUUUUAGAGCCCAAACCAUUUUAACAAAUGAAGCUAUUAUAGUGGGCUGCCAUUUACAAUAAGAAAAUAUAUAUAUAUUGGGUACAAUAAGAAAAUAUAUAUAAAUUGGGCUCAAAGAUUUAUCUUCCCUUGGCCCAUAACUUUUUCAAUUACAUUAAAACAUUUGAGCUUGCUGGGCACGUGAGUUUGCUGAAAUUAUCAUGGAAGGAUGACUUCGGCCCUCUGCCCUUUUACUUCGACUCUCCCACUUCGGCUUCUUCUUAAUUAGCUGCAAAUUGACACCAUAUUUCUUCAGUUUGACACAAUUAUUACCUCCCUCGAAUGAGAGCGUGCCAUCCUCCUAGGCUUUGAGCCAGGGCAUCGAGUUCUUCUAGUUCUUCUAGUUUUUUUUUUUUUUUUUUUUUUUUUUUUUGAAGAGGCUAGCACUUUGGCUGGGUGUUCUUUCUUGCCUCCAUUUUGGCCUGCCAAUUAUUCCAAAUCACAUGGGAAAAGGGCAAAAAUACUUGACUUGGAGAAUUAAAAAUAAAAAGACUAGAAGAAGAGGGCUUCAAACUCAUGGUCAUCAGUCCACCAUUUCAAUUUGUUCACUCGAGCUAUCUCCUUCAGACCAU